Molecule: transfer RNA, 67 nt
Filed under: Marmota monax (woodchuck)
Lineage: Eukaryota; Metazoa; Chordata; Mammalia; Rodentia; Sciuridae
Description: tRNA.Ala
Source: RNAcentral
GGGGUUGUGGUUCAGUGGUAUACCGUUUGCCUAGCAUGUGAGAGGCAGAGUUCAAUCCUCAGCACCA